GGAGUGGGUUGCAAAAGAAGUAGGUAGCUUAACCUUCGGGAGGGCGCUUACCACUUUGUGAUUCAUGACUGGGGUGAAGUCGUAACAAGGUAACCGUAGGGGAACCUGCGGUUGGAUCACCUCCUUACCUGAAAGAA
RNAcentral lists this ribosomal RNA (137 nucleotides) under Klebsiella michiganensis. RNAcentral's name for it is "partial 16S ribosomal RNA". It matches the Rfam family "Bacterial small subunit ribosomal RNA", at positions 1407 to 1533 of the family's 1533-position model. Lineage: Bacteria; Pseudomonadati; Pseudomonadota; Gammaproteobacteria; Enterobacterales; Enterobacteriaceae. The record is from RNAcentral.